This 411-nucleotide ribosomal RNA is filed under the name Burkholderia sp. Z4_80_8. Its description in RNAcentral is "bacterial SSU rRNA". It matches the Rfam family "Bacterial small subunit ribosomal RNA", at positions 119 to 526 of the family's 1533-position model. The record is from RNAcentral. Lineage: Bacteria; Pseudomonadati; Pseudomonadota; Betaproteobacteria; Burkholderiales; Burkholderiaceae.
CGGAACGUGUCCUGUAGUGGGGGAUAGCCCGGCGAAAGCCGGAUUAAUACCGCAUACGCUCUACGGAGGAAAGGGGGGGAUCUUAGGACCUCCCGCUACAGGGGCGGCCGAUGGCAGAUUAGCUAGUUGGUGGGGUAAAGGCCUACCAAGGCGACGAUCUGUAGCUGGUCUGAGAGGACGACCAGCCACACUGGGACUGAGACACGGCCCAGACUCCUACGGGAGGCAGCAGUGGGGAAUUUUGGACAAUGGGGGCAACCCUGAUCCAGCAAUGCCGCGUGUGUGAAGAAGGCCUUCGGGUUGUAAAGCACUUUUGUCCGGAAAGAAAACGCCGUGGUUAAUACCCGUGGCGGAUGACGGUACCGGAAGAAUAAGCACCGGCUAACUACGUGCCAGCAGCCGCGGUAAUAC